This 47-nucleotide unclassified non-coding RNA is filed under the name Acacia alexandri. RNAcentral's name for it is "partial small subunit rRNA". Lineage: Eukaryota; Viridiplantae; Streptophyta; Magnoliopsida; Fabales; Fabaceae. The record is from RNAcentral.
CAAAGAUUAAGCCAUGCAUGUGACUAGUGGUGGGAUGUGCCGGGGGG